RNAcentral lists this ribosomal RNA (253 nucleotides) under uncultured bacterium. RNAcentral's name for it is "partial 16S ribosomal RNA". It matches the Rfam family "Bacterial small subunit ribosomal RNA", at positions 524 to 776 of the family's 1533-position model. The record is from RNAcentral.
UACGAAGGGGGCUAGCGUUGCUCGGAAUUACUGGGCGUAAAGCGCACGUAGGCGGCUCUUUAAGUCGGGGGUGAAAUCCUGGAGCUCAACUCCAGAACUGCCUUCGAUACUGAAGAGCUCGAGUCCGGGAGAGGUGAGUGGAACUGCGAGUGUAGAGGUGAAAUUCGUAGAUAUUCGCAAGAACACCAGUGGCGAAGGCGGCUCACUGGCCCGAUACUGACGCUGAGGUGCGAAAGCGUGGGGAGCAAACAGG